AUAGGGGAGCCGGAGGGAAACCGAGUCUUAAUUGGGCGUUAAGUUGCAGGGUAUAGACCCGAAACCCGGUGAUCUAGCCAUGGGCAGGUUGAAGGUUGGGUAACACUAACUGGAGGACCGAACCGACUAAUGUUGAAAAAUUAGCGGAUGACCUGUGGCUGGGGGUGAAAGGCCAAUCAAACCGGGAGAUAGCUGGUUCUCCCCGAAAGCUAUUUAGGUAGCGCCUCGUGAACUCAUCUCCGGGGGUAGAGCACUGUUUCGGCUAGGGGGCCAUCCCGGCUUACCAGCCCGAUGCAAACUGCGAAUACCGGAGAAUGUUAUCACGGGAGACACACGGCGGGUGCUAACGUCCGUCGUGAAGAGGGAAACAACCCAGACCGCCAGCUAAGGUCCCAAAGUCAUGGUUAAGUGGGAAACGAUGUGGGAAGGCCCAGACAGCCAGGAUGUUGGCUUAGAAGCAGCCAUCAUUUAAAGAAAGCGUAAUAGCUCACUGGUCGAGUCGGCCUGCGCGGAAGAUGUAACGGGGCUAAACCAUGCACCGAAGCUGCGGCAGCGAACGUAUCACCCAAGACAACUUUACGGAGUUGACGAUUGACGGAGCGAAGCGACGUCAAAGCGUUCAUUAAAGUCGAGUUGGCUUAGGGAUACGUUCGUUGGGUAGGGGAGCGUUCUGUAAGCCUGUGAAGGUGGCCUGUGAGGGUUGCUGGAGGUAUCAGAAGUGCGAAUGCUGACAUAAGUAACGAUAAAGCGGGUGAAAAGCCCGCUCGCCGGAAGACCAAGGGUUCCUGUCCAACGUUAAUCGGGGCAGGGUGAGUCGACCCCUAAGGCGAGGCCGAAAGGCGUAGUCGAUGGGAAACGGGUUAAUAUUCCCGUACUUGGUGUUACUGCGAAGGGGGGACGGAGAAGGCUAUGUUGGCCGGGCGACGGUUGUCCCGGUUUAAGCGUGUAGGCUGGUUUUCCAGGCAAAUCCGGAAAAUCAAG
Molecule: ribosomal RNA, 981 nt
Filed under: Salmonella enterica subsp. enterica serovar Mbandaka
Lineage: Bacteria; Pseudomonadati; Pseudomonadota; Gammaproteobacteria; Enterobacterales; Enterobacteriaceae
Description: partial 23S ribosomal RNA
Rfam family: Bacterial large subunit ribosomal RNA
Source: RNAcentral